AGAGUCUAGCACUGGGGAUACAACAAUGAUCAAAAUAGAACAAAGUUCUUGACCUCAUAAAGCCAACAUUCUAGUAAGGGAAGACAGACUAUAGACGUAUAAAUAAGGAGGCCAGUGUGGCUAGAUGUGAAUAAGCAAGAGAAAAAGUAUAAGAGAGAAGGUUAAAGAGGGGGUCAGAUAUACAGCCAUAGAUAUGACUGAAGAACUUUUGACUGUGAAUGAGAAGGGAAGCAGUAAGACCAAGAAGAACCUGAUUUGAUUUCUGUUCUAAAAGGAUCUGAUGGGGAUGCAAGAACAGAAAUGGGAAGACCAGCUAAGAGAUUAAUGUAAUACUGCACAUGAGAACUGAUGAGGACAUGUACCACAUGGGGAUGGUGUUAAAUCAGAUUCUGGAUGAAUUCUAAAGGACCUGCUAAUAAAUGAGAUGUGGGAUGGAAGAGAAAGAGAACAGUCAAGGAUUCAGCACAGGUUUUACUCCGAGCCACAGCAAAGAUGGAGUUGCCCUUUAAUGAGCUGAGGAAGACUGCAGGAAGUCAAAUUUCAGGGAUAAUUGAUGGAGUGCCUCCCAAAUAUCUCCUGAUUAUUGAUUAAUGCAAAUUGCUGAUUGGAAAGAGAAGUUACCCUAAGCCAGGAGUCUCAUGGGGAAAGCCUGCUGGUCAACCCGACAUGACUACCAGGGUGUGCCACCCGUGGUUGACUGCUCUUCUCUAUCCAGGACCAGACUUCAGCCUGGCAGACUCACACUUGAUUUAUGAUCUCUCAGGAUGAAUGGAGAAUAGCAGUUCAACAAACAUUUGAGAAAAGCAAGCACCGUGAUGUAGAAAGUCCAAGAUUAAACAUCAACAACAAUAAUAAAA
Molecule: long non-coding RNA, 857 nt
Organism: Callorhinus ursinus (northern fur seal)
Lineage: Eukaryota; Metazoa; Chordata; Mammalia; Carnivora; Otariidae
Source: RefSeq, a predicted model, not a curated record